AACGAACGCUGGCGGCAUGCCUAACACAUGCAAGUCGAACGAGACCUUCGGGUCUAGUGGCGCACGGGUGCGUAACGCGUGGGAACCUGCCCUUAGGUUCGGAAUAACUCUCCGAAAGGGGUGCUAAUACCGGAUAAUGUCUUCGGACCAAAGAUUUAUCGCCUUUGGAUGGGCCCGCGUUGGAUUAGCUAGUUGGUAGGGUAAAAGCCUACCAAGGCGACGAUCCAUAGCUGGUCUGAGAGGAUGAUCAGCCACACUGGGACUGAGACACGGCCCAGACUCCUACGGGAAGCAGCAGUGGGGAAUAUUGGACAAUGGGCGAAAGCCUGAUCCAGCAAUGCCGCGUGAGUGAUGAAGGCCUUAGGGUUGUAAAGCUCUUUUACCCGGGAUGAUAAUGACAGUACCGGGAGAAUAAGCUCCGGCUAACUCCGUG
RNAcentral lists this ribosomal RNA (433 nucleotides) under uncultured bacterium. Its description in RNAcentral is "partial 16S ribosomal RNA". It matches the Rfam family "Bacterial small subunit ribosomal RNA", at positions 29 to 507 of the family's 1533-position model. The record is from RNAcentral.